Molecule: long non-coding RNA, 1157 nt
Organism: Heterocephalus glaber (naked mole-rat)
Lineage: Eukaryota; Metazoa; Chordata; Mammalia; Rodentia; Bathyergidae
Source: RefSeq, a predicted model, not a curated record
CCCCAGACGGUCGCUGUACACUGCACAAUGGCCCGGCCAGCUCAACAGAAAGUUACAGUGUGGUGCCGGAAGUCUGAGUAACAGACACUGGAGGACUGCAGAAUGGCUGUUGGGGUUCCCUGGACACACUCUUCUCACCCUCACCCCGGUCCUACUGAGGUCCUGCACUACCCCUCUGCCCCUGUCUCUGCUUUGCAAACUCCUCUUUGUCUUUAAAACCUCAGGUCCCCUUGGAGACUCUGUGUUCUAUGCCUUCUGCAGUCACCUUGGCCGUAGCCUUCAAUGACAAGUGUCCCUCUUACUGCUGUGGACCCCUCCUGCUCGGGACUUGCUGACUGCCCAUCAGCCUGAGAAGUUCACAGUGCCUUUGCCGAGUGUCCGGAGCCCCCAGGAAAGCUUCCUGUAGUGUUUAGCCACUUAGAGGGACUUACGCUUCAGCAGACACCAUGGUCAGCCAGGUAAAUGCCAAGCUCGUUUCUUCCUGAGGCCUUGUCCCGAGUACCUUCGUUCUCAGGCCGAGGCCCUACUGCUGUCUUAUUGGUAUCCAGAAGAUGGGAGCGAGGUCUCCUCAGCACAUCAUGAACCUAAGCCUGUUCUCUGCCUUGAUUCUUCCUCUGCAUCUCUGGACUGUCAAUUCGUCCCUGCUCUUGACUAACCUGCACAGGGCAUGCACUUCUCAACAAAAGCCAAGCUAUGAAUGGCAGCAGAAAGACGUCCAUACUCUGUGUGCAUGUCCUCUACUGCUCCACUAACAAUGACGCUGAAAAACAAAAGAUAGAAAUUUAAAAAAGAGGAAAAAUGAAGACGGUGAUUUGUAAAUAUUGACCUAACAGAGGACAUUUUGGAAAGGAUUGAAGGAACUCCCUGUACUUUCAUACCCUCAAAGUGGCGGGAGCACACAAGUCAUCUCAGUAGCCCGCAUCUUGAGAGACUGGACUGCUCAGAGCUAACAUUCAAGACAGAAAACAGCGAUAAGUAGUAGAACAACAAAAAUGAUCAGAUGACUGAAGCUAUUCUUAAAAUAAUAUGAAAGAUCUUGUUUUGUACAGAUAUUCAUGGGAUAAGGUCUCUUCCUUUGCACUGUGGGAAUCCCUGAACACUGCGUCUGAAAGCUGAAUAAGAAACAGAGAGGUAAAGGAUGAACAGGUAUGUAAAGA